AACGAACGCUGGCGGCAGGCCUAACACAUGCAAGUCGAACGAACCUUUUAGGUGAGUGGCGCACGGGUGCGUAACACGUGGGAAUAUACACUUCGGUAAGGAAUAACACAGAGAAAUUUGUGCUAAUACCUUAUAAUGACUCCGGUCCAAAGAUUUAUCGCCGAAGGAUUAGCCCGCGCUAGAUUAGUUUGUUGGUGAGGUAAAAGCUCACCAAGACUACGAUCUAUAGCUGGUCUUAGAGGAUGAUCAGCCACACUGGUACUGAGACACGGACCAGACUCCUACGGGAGGCAGCAGUGAGGAAUAUUGCGCAAUGGGGGAAACUCUGACGCAGCCAUGCCGCGUGAGUGACGAAGGCCCUAGGGUUGUAAAGCUCUUUCAGAUGCGAAGAUAAUGACGGUAACAUCAGAAGAAGCUCCGGCU
Molecule: ribosomal RNA, 423 nt
Filed under: uncultured bacterium
Lineage: Bacteria
Description: bacterial SSU rRNA
Rfam family: Bacterial small subunit ribosomal RNA
Source: RNAcentral